Molecule: long non-coding RNA, 833 nt
Organism: Acanthopagrus latus (yellowfin seabream)
Lineage: Eukaryota; Metazoa; Chordata; Actinopteri; Spariformes; Sparidae
Exons: 6
Source: RefSeq, a predicted model, not a curated record
UGACUUCCGGUGGGUCUUUCGGUCUGCUAUCGACACGCUGAAUAGACUGCAGACCAAUGGCUAUAAAACUUUAUGCUGGGUCCCUUGAUGACCAAGUCCCAUGGCAGAGCCUCAGCUAUGGAAUGGGACUACUGACCUCCUGCCUUGUCUUUGGCACUUAAGGCAGGGCCUCAAGCUGCUCAGUUUGGAGCUAACAGUCUUGCUGCAGACUGACUGAAAGAGCAUGUGGAACAGCUGGCCUAACAAGUGCAAAGAAAUGAGAUGCACCAAGAAUUUUCCUGCUGGGCAGAUCUCGGAAUGAGUGGAGAGGUUCCUGACUCAGUCUAUCUGCUGAAAUAUGUCUGGGCUGCUGCUCGUCAUCAGUACACAUGUUUCAGCCAAGUCUGAUCAACCUGGUUGAAGCUGUGAAUGGAAAUCGUUCUCUACAGGAGCAUGUGGAACAGCUGGCCUGCAGGAAGCGGCUAACAAGUGCAAAGAAAUAAGACUGACCAAAAGUUUUCCUGCUGGGCAGAUCUCGGAAUGAGUGGAGAGGUUCCUGACUCAGUCUGUCUGCUCAAGUAUGUCUGGGCUGCUGCUCGUCAUCAAUACACCUCAUGUAUCAGCCUGGUUGAGGCUGUAAAUGGAAGUCGUUCAACAUUCUGUUAAACGUCCUGAUGGCAUCACGUUUGGCAUGUACAAGGAAUGAUCACAUAAGCCUUGAUGGAAAUUAAAAUCUGGUCUGUUUUAAUUAAAUGUAUUAAACUUUUUUUCAAUAAAACUGAGUACUGUGGCACUGUCCAGUUUUGUGAAGUGACUGUUUAAAUCAAAAUUAAAAUAAAGUCCUUUUGAAUAAA